AUAGAUUUUAUUAUUAUUUUUGAAUGUUUAAAAAAUUUAAUUAAAAUAAUAAGGUUUUUAUUAAUUGAAAAGAAAAAUUCAUAUUAAUUAUAGAUUAUUAGUACUGUGAAGGAAUUAUAUUUAUAUAAUAAAAAGAAAAAAAAAUUUUGUACCUUGUGUAUCAGGGUUUAUUAAAAAAUAUAUAUAUAUAUAUAUAUAUAUAUAUAUAUCUCGAAUUUAAAAGGGCUAAACUAAUAUUUAUAUUAUUGUAUUAUAAAUAUUUAUAAUAUUAAUUUAGUAAUGAAAUGUUAUUCGUUUUUAAAUAUAUCUAGUUUUUCAAGAAAAAAAUUUAAUUUUAAAGUUAAAUUUUAAGUUAUUUUUUUUUAAUAAUUUAAAUUUAAUAUUAAAUAAAUUAAGGGAUAAGCUUUAAUUUAAAUUUUUAUAAUUAAUUAAAAAUUAAUAAUUUAUAGAAUUGAAAAUUUUUUUUAUUUAAAGUUUGUAAAAAUUUGUUAUUUAUAAAUUUAAUAUUUUUAUUUAAUUUAAUUUUUUUAUUAAAAUAAAUAAUAUAAUAUUAGAAUUGUUUUAAUGAUGAUAAAAUUAGUAUUAUAUAUAUAUAUAUAUAUAUAUAUAUAUAUAGAAAGGUAAAAUAAAAGAAUUCGGCAAAUAUAUUUUUCACCUGUUUAUUAAAAACAUCUCUUUUUGAUUUUAAUUUAAAGUAGGGCCUGCCCACUGAAUUUUUAAAGGGCCGCAGUAUUUUGACUGUGCAAAGGUAGCAUAAUCAUUAGUUUUUUAAUUGAAAGCUUGUAUGAAUGGUUUGAUGAGAAAAUAGCUUUUUUUAUUUUAAUUUUUAAGAAUUUUAUUUUUAAGUUAAAAAGCUUAAAUUUUUAUAAUAGACGAGAAGACCCUAUAGAGUUUAAUUAUUAAUUAUUUUUAUAUUUUUAGAAUUUUAAUUUAUAAAUUUAAUUUAAUAAUUUAAUUGGGGUGAUUGAAAAAUUAAAUUAACUUUUUCUUUAUUUUUACAUUGAUGUAUGAUUUUAUGAUCCAUAAAAAUGAUUAAAAGAUUAAAUUACCUUAGGGAUAACAGCGUUAUUUUUUUUUAGAGUUCAAAUCGAAAAAAGAGAUUGCGACCUCGAUGUUGGAUUAAAGUUUAUAUUAGGAGGAGAAUUUUAAUUAUUUGGUCUGUUCGACCAUUAAAACUUUACAUGAUCUGAGUUUAAACCGGUGUGAGCCAGGUUGGUUUCUAUCUUUAUAUAAUUACUAAUUUUUAGUACGAAAGGACCAAGAUUAGGAUUAUUAAUUUUUUAAAUGAAUAAGAUU
RNAcentral lists this ribosomal RNA (1296 nucleotides) under Cheilomenes sexmaculata. RNAcentral describes it as "16S ribosomal RNA". The stretch from base 1056 to 1214 matches the Rfam family "Archaeal large subunit ribosomal RNA", at positions 2544 to 2703 of the family's 2987-position model. Lineage: Eukaryota; Metazoa; Arthropoda; Insecta; Coleoptera; Coccinellidae. The record is from RNAcentral.